This is a long non-coding RNA of Bombyx mori (domestic silkworm), 611 nucleotides long. RefSeq lists it as uncharacterized. The record is from RefSeq and is a predicted model, not a curated record. NCBI's taxonomy places the organism in Eukaryota, Metazoa, Arthropoda, Insecta, Lepidoptera, Bombycidae. The transcript is spliced from 2 exons.
AUAAUUAUAAAUAAUACGGUAUAAUGCUGAUCAAAAAAUAAUUCAAUUCCUCAUUUUUAUCAUUCAACAUUUAACUUGCCAGCUAUACAAUGCCAAAAAAUCUAGUGAUGUAGAUGAUGGAAGGUUCCAGCUAUUCGUUAGCAACUAUAAAUAUUCAGACAUCAAUGAAAAUUAUAGAAAAAAAAAUCAAAAAUUUGAGGCAAGCUCAAUACCACCGCAUAAGAGUGAGCUUUAUCAACAACUUUUGAGGGCCCACUAUAUUUCUUCUAUUUGGAGAAAUGCUUACAAAAAGCAACUGACAACUUUAGACCCAUUGGAGUAUGGUUGGAUUGAGCAGGACAACAUAUAUGCCUUCAAAGGGUUCGAAGGUGACCAACUUCCAUAUUUUGUGAGUGACUUAAUCACCAAUGUUCCUGUAUUCGAUUCAAUGGUUGAUGAAGACGAGUCGCCUAACGAUAAAGAUAACUCCGAUGAUGAUGAUGAUGAAUGAAGAUUGAUAUAUAUAUAUAAUAUGUAAUGCAUGCAUGAUAUAUUUUUUUAACUGAUUUAACACUUUUAAAUUUUGUCUUGACGAAAUAAAAAUGAGGAAUUGAAUUCUUUUUUGAUCAGCA